Molecule: ribosomal RNA, 125 nt
Filed under: Pseudomonas sp. RIT-PI-a
Lineage: Bacteria; Pseudomonadati; Pseudomonadota; Gammaproteobacteria; Pseudomonadales; Pseudomonadaceae
Description: partial 16S ribosomal RNA
Rfam family: Bacterial small subunit ribosomal RNA
Source: RNAcentral
ACCAGAAGUAGCUAGUCUAACCCUCGGGAGGACGGUUACCACGGUGUGAUUCAUGACUGGGGUGAAGUCGUAACAAGGUAGCCGUAGGGGAACCUGCGGCUGGAUCACCUCCUUAAUCGACGACA